CCUACGGGAGGCUGCAGUGAGGAAUAUUGGUCAAUGGACGAGAGUCUGAACCAGCCAAGUAGCGUGAAGGAUGACUGCCCUAUGGUUUGUAAGCUUCUUUUAUAUGGGAAUAAAAUGUUCCACGUGUGGGAUUUUGUAUGUACCAUAUGAAUAAGGAUCGGCUAACUCCGUGCCAGCAGCCGCGGUAAUACGGAGGAUCCGAGCGUUAUCCGGAUUUAUUUGGUUUAAAGGGAGCGGAUGUGGAUUUGUAAGUCAUGUGUGAAAGUUUGCGGCUCAACCGUAAAAUUGCAGUUGAAACUAGCAGUCUAGAGUACAGUAGAGGUGGGCGGAAUUCGUGGUGUAGCGGUGAAAUGCUUAGAUAUAACGAAGAACUCCGAUGGCGAAGGCAGCUCACUGGACUGAAACUGACACUGAGGCUCGAAAGUGUGGGUAUCAAACAGGAUUAGAUACCCCAGUAGUC
RNAcentral lists this ribosomal RNA (460 nucleotides) under uncultured bacterium. Its description in RNAcentral is "partial 16S ribosomal RNA". It matches the Rfam family "Bacterial small subunit ribosomal RNA", at positions 338 to 795 of the family's 1533-position model. The record is from RNAcentral.